This 2696-nucleotide small RNA is filed under the name Arabidopsis thaliana (thale cress). RNAcentral's name for it is "ATSL260900". Lineage: Eukaryota; Viridiplantae; Streptophyta; Magnoliopsida; Brassicales; Brassicaceae. The record is from RNAcentral.
AACCGGUGAAGCAACUAAGAGCACGUACAUAGAGUAUCAUUAGUAAAUUUUUAAUAUUAAUUAGAUUAUAACCCGCGGUACACCGUAGAGACAAUUAAUUUUUUUAAAUUAGUAUAUAUAAAAGUCUGCAAAUUAUAUUUAUCUAUAAAAAUAAAUAUUUUUUAUAGUUUACAAUUGUUAUUAAGUAACAUCUUUUCAAACUCGUUCCGUCAAACCCGUCCCGUUAAAAAAAUCCACGGUACACCGCUAAUUUAAAUAAAUAUUUUACAGGAUUGCAAUUAUAUUUUAGUUUGUCAAACAAAUUUUUGUUUUAAAUAGUUGUCGAAAUCUAGUUCAAAUAUUGGAGAAAUAAGAUUUAAUGAACUGAUAAGAAAUGUAUUUAGGUGAGUUUUGCUCAUUUUAAGGGAUUGCAAUUGUAUUUUGGUUUGUCAAAUAUUUUUUGUUUUAAAUAGUUUCCAAAAUCUAGUUCAAAUUUUGGAGAAAUCUGCGUGAUAUAUGGGAUUGAAAUAUGUUUGGAAUAUUUUUUGUUUGUUAAUCAAUUCAUUGCCAAAAGAAAACCAAUAAUUAAAAGCAGUGACAGCCAUUGUAAAUAAGUUCCAACUCCAAGAUUUAUUUCACAAAAUGGCUGCAAAAAUGUAUAUGUAGAUUUUAAUGUUUAUUUAUUGUUUAAAAUUUUGUAUGAUACUUAUAUGGUUUUUGGUGAUAUUGUUACCAGUAUAAUAAAAAAUCUCAAACAAUAAAUAGACAUUAAAAUUAAUACUAAAAAAUUGUUAAUAAUACUCAUUGAAUAUCAACUAUGUGCAUGCUCUAAGACCAUGUUUAUAUGAACAACACAGCUCAAAACGACAGAUCUUUGAGAAGAUUGACAAUCCAUGUGAUUUCUGAAACUGUUUCUGACAUGGCUCUAUAUUCUACUUCAGUGGAACUCUUGGCUACUGUAGGUUGUUUUCUUGAUGACCAAGAGAUGAGGUUGUUGCCUAGAAAAGUGCAGAAACCUCCAGUGGAUCUCCUUGUAGAGUGACAACCAGCAUGAUCGCUAUCACUGUAAGCCCUCAAUUUACAAUCUGUAUCCUUGUUGAAGGAGAUUCCCAUUGUAGUGGUACCCUUGACAUAUCUCAGGAUCCGUUUGAGCAAGUGAAAAUCUGAUAAAGUAGGAGCAUGCAUCUUCUGACAAACAUAGUUAACAGAGAAUUGAAUAUCUCGUCUUGUGAGUGUCAGAUACUAUAAUCUCCCUGCCAAGCUACAAAAAUAAGUUGGAUUUUCGAAGAGCUCAGAUUGAUGAGGAGCAUUAUCUAGCUGAAUUGGUAGUGGUGUAGCUACUGGUGAGCAGUCUUUCAUGGCUGUAAUGAUUAGUAGAUCUUAAGCAUACUUUUGUUGGGAUAGAAAGAGACCUUUUUGAUGAAAUUGAGCCUGAAUUCCCAAAAAAUAGUUUAGUUUGCCUAGAUCUUUCAUCUUAAACUGCUUGUUGAGUUCAUUGAGGAGAUUGGAUAGUAGUUUUGAGCUGUUCCUAGUGAUCACCAUAUCAUCGACGUAGAGUAGAAGCAUGAUGACAUCUGAUUUCUUUACGCAGACAAAAAGUGAGGGAUCUGAGAAACUGCACAUAAAACCAAAAGAGAUUAAGAAGUUACUGAAUUUAUCAAACCAAGCUCGUGGAGACUGUUUUAAUCCGUAGAGAGACUUGUGUAGCAGACACACAUGAUUUGGUAAGGCCUUGUUGAUAAAAUCAGCUGGUUGUUUCAUAUACACAGUUUCAGUAAGAUCUCCAUGAAGAAAGGCGUUCUUUACAUCCAUUUGCUUCAGUUCCCAAUUCAUGAUGGUUGCAAGGUGCAGGACUGCUCUAACGGUAGCUGAUCUAACCACAGGGCUGUAAGUCUCAAGGUAAUCAAUUCCCUCUUCUUGGUUGAAGCCCUGAGCUACUAGUCUUGACUUAUACUUGUCUAGAGAUCCAUCUGCUAGGAGUUUGAUUCUGAAAACCCACUUGGAACCUAGAACGUUCAUGUGUGUUUAAAAGGUACUAUAGACCAAGUAUUUGUUUCAGAACAAUUUUCCAUUUCUUCAACCGUUGCAGCAGUCCACUUUUCAUCUUUUAAAGCUUCAGUGACUGUUUUUGGUGUUGGAUGAGAAAUUUUAUGUGUAAGCAGUGCAUACCUUUUAUUUGGUUUGCUAAUGCCUGUCUUUGAUCUUGUAACCAUAGGAUGAGUUGACUCUGUAGUUUUGAUGACGUCUGAUGUUGAUUGCUCUUGGUCAGAAGAUGACGAAGCAACGCUGUUGCCUAUAGGAUCAAGAUCUAAGCUUGUCGUACACUCAGGACGUUGCUCAUCACUUCUAGACAAUCGCUGUUGAGGAAGAAUCAUUUGGAGAGGUGUAACACUUAUUGGAUCAACAACCAUAAGCUGCAAAUUUUCAGUAGUCUUCCCUUGUACAUUUGAAUCAAUAGGAUGACUUACUGGUAUUAAUUAUGGCUGUUGUUGAUUUUCUGUUGUUGCAGGUGCUUAACUGAACUAAUCAUCAGCUUCUGGAGGUAAAAAGGUAGAGAGUCCUUUUAACCAAGCUGCAAACAAAGGAGUUGAAGAUGCAUUCUGUUGAUCUGUGUAAGUGUCUGCAAACGGAAAGAACUCUUCUGCAAACAAGACAUGCCGACUUAUAUAAACUCGGCCUGUUGGUGGAUAGAAGCAGCGAUACCCUUUGUAUUUUUC